UACGAAGGGGGCUAGCGUUGCUCGGAAUCACUGGGCGUAAAGCGCACGUAGGCGGGUCGUUAAGUCAGGGGUGAAAUCCCGGAGCUCAACUCCGGAACUGCCUUUGAUACUGGGGAUCUUGAGUCCGGAAGAGGUGAGUGGAACUCCGAGUGUAGAGGUGAAAUUCGUAGAUAUUCGGAAGAACACCAGUGGCGAAGGCGGCUCACUGGUCCGGUACUGACGCUGAGGUGCGAAAGCGUGGGGAGCAAACAGG
Molecule: ribosomal RNA, 253 nt
Filed under: uncultured bacterium
Lineage: Bacteria
Description: partial 16S ribosomal RNA
Rfam family: Bacterial small subunit ribosomal RNA
Source: RNAcentral